This 807-nucleotide long non-coding RNA is filed under the name Gossypium raimondii (Peruvian cotton). Its description in RNAcentral is "long non-coding RNA (GRAI_LNC004831)". Lineage: Eukaryota; Viridiplantae; Streptophyta; Magnoliopsida; Malvales; Malvaceae. The record is from RNAcentral.
AUUGAUUCAACAUCUUUUCAAUAUCACAGAAUUGUUACAUAACAGAAUGACCAUCAACCAUUUGAUAAUUAUUGAAACGACUGACAGUAAAUUUCUUACUUGUAACAUCUUCGGUCAUGUAUUUUGUCUCUAAUUUGUCCCAUAAUUCUUUAGCAGUGACCUCGUUUUGGUAGGUGUUGAACAAACCAUUAGAUAAACCAUUCAAUAUGUGACUCAUGCACAUAUAAUCAGCAUUGUCUCAUUUUUGUCUUUCUCGGGUUGCAGCAACAGAUUCGUGAUCAUUCUCUUCAAGUCUUAGAGUAUCCAAAACAUAAGCAAUCUUCAAAGUUGAUAAUAAGAAGUGCAUCUUUUUCUGCCAUUGUCGAAAAUUGCCACCAUCAAACCGAUCAAGUUUGACAAAGUUGGAAGCCAACUCCCUUAGUGUUCCACUUUCAUGUGCUGUGGUGGUCAUCAUGAAUUAUAUAACCUUAAAAUUGUUAGUACAAAUCUCCAGUGAAGAAAAUCUCAAACACAUGAACGGAACUCGAAAAGAAAAAGAAGAAAUAGGACAAGGCUCCAAGGCAAGUAUCAAGUCACUAUCUUUAAGGUUAUAUUCACCCCCACCUAUUUUCGGUGUGUAAAUGAGUUCCAAGCAAAUUCACCUCGAGGAUACAAUGAAGCCAAUUACUAUUAGUGUUUUGCACUGACAAGAAUAGCCCACUACACACUGAGCAAUGUAUGACAAAAAACUCAAUUUCUAUAAAGGAUUUCUGUAGUAAUACUUUAUAGAAUAAUCUAAUAAUAUUAGAAAAUGAAGGAAGGAAAGAA